This 2124-nucleotide long non-coding RNA is filed under the name Olea europaea subsp. europaea. Lineage: Eukaryota; Viridiplantae; Streptophyta; Magnoliopsida; Lamiales; Oleaceae. The record is from RNAcentral.
UUCAAUUUCAACUCUGCAAAAUUGGCAGAGCAUAAACCCUAAACCCUAAUGCUAAUUCAAAAGCAUAACUGCAGAACCACGAAUACCCAGAUACACAUCUUGAUUUUCUUCUUUGAUAUGCUCUUCAAUUUGCAUAAAAUGUUCUCUCUCUCAAGAAAAUCAAACCCUAAAACCCUAAUCCUCUGGUCCCACCUUCAAUUCACAGUCUCAAUUUCAAGUCUCAAAGUGGUUUGGCGUAAAGACCGAAGGCUCGACCAAGCUAUUCAAAACGACAAGCAAUGGCGACUUUGCGCUCGGGUUGUCAGAGAGGUCCUAAACGAACCGGGUCAAGUCAUCCCGCUUCGGUACCUCGAGAAACGCCGUGAGAGGCUCCGAUUACCCAUCAAAAUCCAAACUUUCCUGGCCCGAAAUCCGGGUUUAUUUGAAAUCUACAUGGAUCGGAUCAAGCCGAAAUCCCAUCCGGUUCGUUUCGUCCGUGCUGGUGAUAGGCUUAACCAGUUUUUAGAGGAAGAGAAAAGGAUUUAUAGUGAAAAUGAGCCGUUAAUUGUUUCGAAACUUUGUAAACUGUUGAUGAUGGCAAAAAAUAGAGUUGUCAGCGCAGAUAAAUUAGUUGAGGUUAAGAGGGAAUUCGGGUUUCCAAAUGAUCUUUUAGUGAAUUUGGUGCCGAAGUACCCCGAAUAUUUUAGGUUAUAUGGGACUCCGGGAGAGGGGAAAUCGUAUCUAGAAUUGGUUUUGUGGAAUGACAAUUUUGGAAAGUCAGUUAUUGAGAAGAGGGCAGAGGAGGAGUCGAGGUUGAUGGGGAUUAGGGUGAGACCUGCGUUUAAUUGGAAGCUCCCACCUGGAUUUUAUAUCAAGAAGGAAAUGAGGGAGUGGAUUAGGGAUUGGAUGGAGCUUCCAUAUAUCUCGCCUUAUGAUGAUGUAUCACAUUUGGAGCAGGCAUCUCCUGAAAUGGAGAAGUGGACGGUUGGGGUUUUCCACGAGUUGCUUUCUCUAUCCCUUUAUAAGAGGAUUCCAGUGCCUGUUUUGGGGAAAUUUUGUGAAGAAUAUAGGUUUUCAAAUGCAUUCUCAAGCGUAUUUACAAGGCAUUCUGGGAUUUUUUAUAUGUCGUUGAAGGGUGGCAUUCAGACCGCAAUGCUGAGGGAAGCAUACAAGGGUGAGGAGUUGGUUGAUAUUGAUCCACUUGUUGUGAUCAAGGAUAAGUUUGUUGAGUUGCUCGAUGAGGGACAUCAGCAGAGGGUCGAGAAAAUCAGGGUUAAAAGGGAAAUGGUUUGGAAAGAAAUGGAAUUCAUGUCAGCUAGUAAUAAAGAAUACAACUAUGAUAAGCAAAAUGCAGAGUUAUGAGAAACUGUGGAAAAUGACGUUAAGGAAUUCAAACACAGUAGUGUUGGAAGUUAUGAGGUAUCCCAAAUGUUUGCUCAGUAAUGUUGGAAGCACAUCUUGUUGAGGCGAGUAAUAUUUCUACUGGAUCUACUUCGGAUUAGCCUUGUGACAAGAUGAAGAUGUUAAAUGGUUUUUGUGACUAGCUUGCUUCCACUUCACAGCAACCGGCAACUGCAAAUGCAACUGCAACUGAGAGGGCUCGUGGACUAGUAUCCUUUAUAGAAAAGCUGCUUUUUGGAACCCGGUCUUUUGGUACAUGAUAAUCUUUCCAAGCAGGUAUAAAUUUUGGGAUAUGUCCUGUUUUUCUCUUUUAACAAAAUAGGAUUGAUCUAUACAUCUUAUAUAAGAAGUGCAAUGUAUGUUUUCCGCCUCCCUCAGGUCAUCCGUUGAGAUAAGUAACUGGUUUUGAUCGUUCCUGCGGUGCAUACGAGUUUGCUGUAUGGAUAUGCUUGUAUUGUAAAUGACGGGGCUCUUCUAUUUGAUCCUGAUAACAUUCUGAUCGAUGUUAUUAUUAAAUUGUCUGAUGAUAUUAGAGGAUGCUACGUUUAAUUUUCGGCAUUUUGUAAGUAUAUUUUGAAUUUUGAGAUCUGUAAGUGCUUAAAGCUCUUCAUUCUGAUCGAUGAUAUUAGAGAAUGGUUAAUCUAUUUUUAGCAUUUUGAAGUGUAUUUUGAAUUCUUAUAUCUGUAAAUGCUUAAUACUUAGUACCAUUCUUUGAUUAUUCAAGUUUUGAUGAUCGGAACUAAU